UGUAUAAUGGGUCAGCGACUUAUAUUCAGUAGCAAGGUUAACCGUAUAGGGGAGCCGUAGAGAAAUCGAGUCUUAAUAGGGCGUUUAGUUGCUGGGUAUAGACCCGAAACCAGGCGAUCUAUCCAUGAGCAGGUUGAAGGUUGGGUAACACUAACUGGAGGACCGAACCCACUGUCGUUGAAAAGCCAGGGGAUGACUUGUGGAUAGGGGUGAAAGGCUAAUCAAGCCUGGUGAUAGCUGGUUCUCCCCGAAAGCUAUUUAGGUAGCGCCUCGGACGAAUACCAUAGGGGGUAGAGCACUGUUUCGGCUAGGGGGUCAUCCCGACUUACCAAACCGAUGCAAACUCCGAAUACCUAUGAGUACUAUCCGGGAGACAGACUGCGGGUGCUAACGUCCGUAGUCAAGAGGAAAACAAUCCAGACCGCCAGCUAAGGCCCCAAAAUCAUAGUUAAGUGGGAAACGAUGUGGGAAGGCAUAGACAGCUAGGAGGUUGGCUUAGAAGCAGCCACCCUUUAAAGAAAGCGUAAUAGCUCACUAGUCGAGUCGGCCUGCGCGGAAGAUGUAACGGGGCUAAAACUAUGUGCCGAAGCUGCGGAUUUGACAUUAGUCAAGUGGUAGGGGAGCGUUCUGUAAGCCGAUGAAGGUGUAUUGAGAAGUAUGCUGGAGGUAUCAGAAGUGCGAAUGCUGACGUGAGUAACGACAAAACGGGUGAAAAACCCGUUCGCCGAAAGACCAAGGGUUCCAGUCCAACGUUAAUCGGGGCUGGGUGAGUCGACCCCUAAGGCGAGGCCGAAAGGCGUAGUCGAUGGGAAAAUGGUUAAUAUUCCAUUACUUCUGUGUAAUGCGAUGAGAGGACGGAGAAGGCUAAAUCAGCCUGGCGUUGGUUGUCCAGGUGAAAGGAUGUAGGCAUGUAUCUUAGGCAAAUCCGGGGUACUCUAUGCUGAGAUCUGAUAGCAAGCUGUACUUGUACAGCGAAGUGGUUGAUGCCAUGCUUCCAGGAAAAGUCUCUAAGCUUCAGUUACACAGGAAUCGUACCCGAAACCGACACAGGUGGUCAGGUCGAGUAGACCAAGGCGCUUGAGAGAACUCUGCUGAAGGAACUAGGCAAAAUGGUACCGUAACUUCGGGAGAAGGUACGCUGUUGUUGGUGAUGGAACUCGCUUCCUGAGCUGACGACAGCCGCAGAAACCAGGCCGCUGCAACUGUUUAUUAAAAACAUAGCACUCUGCAAACACGAAAGUGGACGUAUAGGGUGUGAUGCCUGCCCGGUGCUGGAAGGUUAAUUGAUGGGGUUAGCGUAAGCGAAGCUCUUGAUCGAAGCCCCAGUAAACGGCGGCCGUAACUAUAACGGUCCUAAGGUAGCGAAAUUCCUUGUCGGGUAAGUUCCGACCUGCACGAAUGGCAUAAUGAUGGCGGCGCUGUCUCCAGCAGAGGCUCAGUGAAAUCGAAAUCGCUGUGAAGAUGCAGUGUACCCGCGGCUAGACGGAAAGACCCCGUGAACCUUUACUGCAGCUUGACACUGAACUUUGACCUUACUUGUGUAGGAUAGGUGGGAGGCUUUGAAGCUGGAACGCUAGUUCCAGUGGAGCCGUCCUUGAAAUACCACCCUGGUAAUGUUGAGGUUCUAACUCUGUCCCGUGAUCCGGGACGAGGACCGUGUCUGGUGGGUAGUUUGACUGGGGCGGUCUCCUCCUAAAGAGUAACGGAGGAGUACGAAGGUGCGCUCAGCGUGGUCGGAAAUCACGCGUAGAGUAUAAAGGCAAAAGCGCGCUUAACUGCGAGACCCACAAGUCGAGCAGGUACGAAAGUAGGUCUUAGUGAUCCGGUGGUUCUGUAUGGAAGGGCCAUCGCUCAACGGAUAAAAGGUACUCUGGGGAUAACAGGCUGAUACCGCCCAAGAGUUCAUAUCGACGGCGGUGUUUGGCACCUCGAUGUCGGCUCAUCUCAUCCUGGGGCUGAAGCAGGUCCCAAGGGUAUGGCUGUUCGCCAUUUAAAGAGGUACGCGAGCUGGGUUUAGAACGUCGUGAGACAGUUCGGUCCCUAUCUACCGUGGGCGCUGGAAAUUUGAGAGGAUCUGCUCCUAGUACGAGAGGACCAGAGUGGACGAACCUCUGGUGUACCGGUUGUGACGCCAGUCGCAUCGCCGGGUAGCUAUGUUCGGAAGGGAUAACCGCUGAAAGCAUCUAAGCGGGAAGCCUACCUCAAGAUAAGAUUUCCCUAGGACUUUAUGUCCUCUAAAGAGCCGUUCGAGACUAGGACGUUGAUAGGUUGGAUGUGGAAGCAUAGUGAUAUGUGAAGCUGACCAAUACUAAUUGCUCGUGAGGCUUGACUAUACAACACCCAAGCAGUUG
RNAcentral lists this ribosomal RNA (2351 nucleotides) under Acinetobacter baumannii. RNAcentral describes it as "partial 23S ribosomal RNA". It matches the Rfam family "Bacterial large subunit ribosomal RNA", at positions 609 to 2925 of the family's 2925-position model. Lineage: Bacteria; Pseudomonadati; Pseudomonadota; Gammaproteobacteria; Moraxellales; Moraxellaceae. The record is from RNAcentral.